Molecule: ribosomal RNA, 481 nt
Filed under: uncultured bacterium
Lineage: Bacteria
Description: partial 16S ribosomal RNA
Rfam family: Bacterial small subunit ribosomal RNA
Source: RNAcentral
GAUGAACGCUGGCGGCGUGCCUAACACAUGCAAGUCGAGCGAAGCACUUACUUUAGAUUUCUUCGGAAUGACGAAGUUUGUGACUGAGCGGCGGACGGGUGAGUAACGCGUGGGCAACCUGCCCUGUACAGGGGGAUAACAGUUAGAAAUGACUGCUAAUACCGCAUAAGCCCACAGCUUCGCAUGAAGCAGUGGGAAAAACUCCGGUGGUACAGGAUGGGCCCGCGUCUGAUUAGCUAGUUGGUAAGGUAACGGCUUACCAAGGCGACGAUCAGUAGCCGAACUGAGAGGGUGACCGGCCACAUUGGGACUGAGACACGGCCCAAACUCCUACGGGAGGCAGCAGUGGGGAAUAUUGCACAAUGGGGGAAACCCUGAUGCAGCGACGCCGCGUGAGCGAUGAAGUAUUUCGGUAUGUAAAGCUCUAUCAGCAGGGAAGAAAGUGACGGUACCUGACUAAGAAGCCCCGGCUAACUACGUG